This 773-nucleotide ribosomal RNA is filed under the name Oryza longistaminata (longstamen rice). RNAcentral's name for it is "eukaryotic LSU rRNA". The stretch from base 273 to 427 matches the Rfam family "5.8S ribosomal RNA". Lineage: Eukaryota; Viridiplantae; Streptophyta; Magnoliopsida; Poales; Poaceae. The record is from RNAcentral.
GGAAGUAAAAGUCGUAACAAGGUAUCUGUAGGUGAACCUGCAGAUGGAUCAUUUCGAUGAAAACCUUUUUUCUGAGGUGUGGCUCGCACCUGUCUAACUAAACUUGAGCUACCCAAUUUCAACACGGUUGCAUCGGUUGGCUGUCAAACAGUGCCUCGGCGCUGGGAGGCGGUCGACACACAACACAAACACUUUUGAUGAUCUAGGAUUUUGAAUGAAGUUCAUUUUUAUGAUGGAACCGACUGGUAAUGCGGUCGUCUAAAUCUAAAAACAACUUUUGGCAACGGAUCUCUUGGUUCUCCCAUCGAUGAAGAACGCAGCGAAUUGCGAUAAGUAAUGUGAAUUGCAGAAGUGAAUCAUCGAAUCUUUGAACGCACCUUGCGCUCCCGGCAGAUCUAAUCUGGGGAGCAUGCCUGUUUGAGGGCCGCGAAUUGUUUCGAACGACAGCUUUUUUCUUUGUGAAAAAGUUGGCGGAUCGGUAUUGAGGGUCUUGCCAUUUACCAUGGCUCCCUCGAAAUGCAUUAGCGCAUCCAUUUGAUAGGCAAGACGGACGAAAGCUCGAUUUUCGCCCUCUCUUCCCUGCCGGGUUUUGAUAAUAUCAGGACUUCGGAGGCGGAGAAAGGGUUAGAGCUGGACGCAACGUUUUGCUGUUUGGAGUGCUUCUGAAACCCGCCCAUGCCUCUUUCUUCGGAAAAGGAAGGGAUUUUUUCAAUUCAUUGGCCUCAGAUUGGUAGGACUACCCGCUGAACUUAAGCAUAUCAAUAAGCGGAGGA